GCAUAUUAAUAAGCGGAGGAAAAGAAAACAACUGUGAUUCCCUUAGUAACGGCGAGUGAAACGGGAUUAGCCCAGCGCUGAACGGCUGAUCCUAGCAAGGUCAUGCUGAAUGUAGCGUUUGGAAGGAUCUCUUCCAGAGCUCGGAGACCAGUCAAAGUCCAACUUGACAGUGGCCACAGCCCAUAGAGGGUGAUAGGCCCGUAAGACGGUACUCCGGCUCUGCUGAUCUCUUCCCUGAGUCGAGUUGCUUGAGAGUGCAGCUCAAAGCGCGAGGUAAACUCCUCGUAAGGCUAAAUAUCACCCCGAGACCGAUAGCAAACAAGUACAGUGAUGGAAAUUUGAAAAGAACUUUGAAGAGAGAGUUAACAGUACGUGAAACUGUGUGGCAGUAAACGGAGCCUUCCUCGAAGUUAACCGGUCGGACCCAUCCUAACGGCAUGGCGCAGCCCUCGCUCUUGGAUCAGCAAUGACCUUUUGCGGGGCGUCUUGCGUCGCUCGGCGGGUGCAUCUCCGACCGGUGUCACGAUAGGAACUCUUGAYUUGUCUGGACCUAAGGCCCGGGUCGAAGUUUUCCCUUCGGGGUCAGCCUCCCGGUGUCCUGGCUUCGGAUUCGAGAGGCAGCCACGGCGGGACUUGUACAGCAAGCAACGCUUUCUGUUGCGGUCCCCCGUUCCCUAUCGAGUAGGUCGGGCAGGCUCCGACCCGUCUUGAAACACGGACC
Molecule: ribosomal RNA, 721 nt
Filed under: Calanopia americana
Lineage: Eukaryota; Metazoa; Arthropoda; Copepoda; Calanoida; Pontellidae
Description: eukaryotic LSU rRNA
Rfam family: Eukaryotic large subunit ribosomal RNA
Source: RNAcentral